GCCUGGGUGGCUCAGUCGGUUAAGCGUCCGACUUCGGCUCAGGUCACGAUCUCGCGGUCCGUGAGUUCGAGCCCCGCCUCGGGCU
Molecule: transfer RNA, 85 nt
Filed under: Felis catus (domestic cat)
Lineage: Eukaryota; Metazoa; Chordata; Mammalia; Carnivora; Felidae
Also listed under: 2 other names
Rfam family: tRNA
About the family: Transfer RNA (tRNA) molecules are approximately 80 nucleotides in length.
Source: Rfam by way of RNAcentral